This 218-nucleotide unclassified non-coding RNA is filed under the name Hevea brasiliensis (rubber tree). The record is from RNAcentral. Lineage: Eukaryota; Viridiplantae; Streptophyta; Magnoliopsida; Malpighiales; Euphorbiaceae.
AGGAAGCAAUAGAUCGCAAGCGGCCAGACCGCGAACAACACCGAGUUCGCGUUGAAGCGCUGGGCCUGAAAUUGAUAGAUCGGCAGCAGCAUGAGCAGCAGCAGAACAACCGCGGCGCUUGUCGCCUUUCGCGAAGCGGCGGGUCGUAAGGUCGAUGAUCCAGAGCGCCACGGCCGAAUUGGUCAUCGCCAGAAGGUGAAACGACCAGUCACGAACCG